Molecule: long non-coding RNA, 2195 nt
Organism: Mesocricetus auratus (golden hamster)
Lineage: Eukaryota; Metazoa; Chordata; Mammalia; Rodentia; Cricetidae
Exons: 2
Source: RefSeq, a predicted model, not a curated record
CACACACAAACCCCUUAACACACAAUUCCUGGAGGCUGGGCAUGGCAGCACACACAGAAAUUAGGUCAUAAAGGCAGAAGUUCAGCCUCAGCCAGGGCUAGGUAAGACUGUCUGAAAAAUAAAACAAAACAAAACCCUAAUCAGGGCCAACAGAGCUCAGAGGGUAAAGGCAUCUGUUGUCAAGCCUGACCCUGGAGUUUGACCCCUGGAACCUACUGGUAGGAGGAAAAUAACCACUUUCACAGACUGUCUUCUGACCUCCAAGCACACGAAUAUGCACACAACAAAUAAAUAUUUUUUUAAAAAUCAGGGAGCCGGGAGCUGGAGAGAUGGAGUGUGCCACUGAAGGCAAUGCCAAUAGAAUAAGCGUUUUCUUUCGCUUGGAGCUAGUAAUUAACUGGAAGGACCAGCAACCCAAGAGAGACAUGGCCAGAGACUACGAACAGUUCACAGAAAGGAAAUGCAAAUGGCUUUUAAAUUUUUAAAAAGAUUCUCAACCUCACAGAAGAUAAGUGAAAAUUAAAACUACAUCGAGACAGCAUUUCUCAUUUAUCAGCUUGGCAAAAACCCAAAAGUUUACAACACAGUCUGUUGAUGUGGCAUUGGGGAACAGGCAUUUUCCUGCAUUGCCAGUGGGGAGAGCAAAGCAGUCAAAGUCACAGGAAGAGAGACGGGAGAUAGCAAGUACAAUCACCCGAGCAUCUACCCUGGAGCCAGCACUCCCACUCGGGAGAGCCUGCCCUUCAGCUGCGCCCCUGCACGUGGGCGAUGGCGCGUGCGGUUACUUAUGCACUGUGACACUCUGCAUAGGAAAACACACCCGAGUGUCCUUCUCCGGAGGGCUGCAUGUCUGCAUGGUGAAGCACUAAGUCACAGAGGAAGACCAGAGGAGGGACUUUGAAAACAGUACCCAGGAGAACAAUGUGUGAAUAUGUAAGAAAAACAAGGUGGCUUGUCCCUGAGGGUCAACAGUGUGGACACAGUCAACUCUGCUAAACUUCAUGCUUUAGCUCAAAGGGUGAAGAAGCUAAAUGUGGUUAUAAUUUCUUUUAGUCUCUCUCUCUCUCUGUGUCUCUCUCUCACACACACACACAUACACACACACACACACACACACACACACACGCCUGUGCACACACACACACCUCACCAGAAGCAUGUAUAAGAAACUAAUAAAAAAAUGACUGCUUGUUUUGGAGGAGGUGAAGUAUGUACAGUGUACAGUUACUUUACUUUUAAACAUAGUUUUGGGGUCUUUUGUUCUGUAUUGUUUGGGAUUUUUUAAAAUUUAGUUUUUUCCCCUCUGUAUGGGUGUUUCGCCUGCAUGUGUGUCUGUGAACCACAAACAUGCCUGAUGCCUGUGCAGGCCAGAAAAGGGCAUUGGAUGGUGGAGAACUGGGCACUGACAAUCGUGAGCCCCCGUGUGGAUGCUGACCCACCUCUCCACCACCAUCCUUUUUUAUUGAGACAUGAUCUCAUGGUAUCGAUGGCUAGCCUGGAACUCAUUAUGUAGAUCAGGCUGGCCUCAAACUCACAGAUUAGCCUGCCUCUGCCUCCUGAGGGCUAGGAUUAAGGGCAUGCACAACACAGAUCCUAGUUUUGGUUUUUAAACCAUGUGAAUAUAUUACCUAUUUAGAAGCCAGGCCUCGUGGCUCAAGACAGUUGUCCCAGUUAUACAAGAGGCUGAAGCAUGAGGACUUCAAGUUUCUGGGGUAGAAUGAAUUCAAGGACAGUCUGGGUGACUUUGCUGAGACCCUGCUGCAACAUAAAAGGAAAAAACCCCACAAAACCCAAGUUGGAGUUGUACCAUUGUGGUAGAGCCCUUGCCUGUCAAUCAAUCCCCUUGGUCCCCAGUAUCCCCCCCUCCCCACGACUCACAUAUGGACUGAGGACAUGGCUGAGUGGCAGAACAUUAGCUCAGCAUGUGCCCUGUACUCGGUUCAGCCCCCAGACCCAGGGGUUAAAAAGCAAAAAUUUAGGUUUGUAAUUUGCUUGGAUUAUUUAUUUAUUUUAUAUGUUUAAGACUUACUAAUAAGCUGGAAAGGUGGCUCAGGGGAUAAAGGUACUUGCUGCCAAGGUUUGGCAGCCUGAGUUCAAACCCCAUGAACUGACUCCCACAAACUGUUCUUUGACAUCCACACACUUGCUGCAGAGAAUGUACCAUCCCUCAAAUAAAUGCAACUUGCGUUCUGCAA